This 2173-nucleotide long non-coding RNA is filed under the name Bos taurus (domestic cattle). Its description in RNAcentral is "long non-coding RNA NONBTAT028265". Lineage: Eukaryota; Metazoa; Chordata; Mammalia; Artiodactyla; Bovidae. The record is from RNAcentral.
GAGGAGGCCGUCUGGGGGAGCCUGUCCGACUUCCUGGGAGAAUCAGGGCUUCCCGCUGUGCCCCGGGGCCUGGGGGACGAGGAGAUGCCCCCCUGGCUGGUAGGAGAUGGAUAUUGGAGAUGUCUGGGGCUGCUGGGGAAAUAGGAAACUUGCCUCUUAAUAACUACUGAAUUAAAAAAAAAAAAAAAGAGUACGUGUCCCCGGGGAGGUUCGGUUGGGUUAGGAGCUCCUGGGACACCAGGCCUGCUCCUUCCGGGGGCCCGUAGGAGCAAGCAAGCGGCAGUUUAAAGAGGGCUUUUGAGAGAAUCGUUUUGCCCCCAGGACAACUAACUGACAAUGAGGCGGUUGGGGUAAGAUGGGACCUGGGAGGAGGGUACCCUGUCCGGAGAUCUGGGAGAGGAGAAGAAGGGUCAGGAUCUGUGAGGAGCUUCAUUCUCUGCUGAGUUCGAGGUCCUCUUCUAGGAAGACAUACUGGGAAUUGGUGAAGCGAGGAGGAGAGGUGAUACUGUCUUGGGGCACAGUGAUUCUAGAAGUUGUAGUUCUGUAAAGUUGGUUGGAAGAGUAGAACUGUUUCUAGUCAGUUGAGGGAGGAGGAGCUCCUUGAAGGUUGCUAAGUUACCAGAAGCUUGUAGGCACCGCCUAGGGCUGGUGUUAGGGGAGGUUAGUUCUUUCAGGUCCUAAUUCGGGCUUAGUUAAGGCGUGUCCUCAUUCUUUUUUGGCUGCCUGGAGCUCUUAAAUUGGUUUCCACGAGCCCAGCUUGAGCUAAGAGGUUGUGUAGGUGCUGAGGGCUGAUGAAUGUCUUUGAGUCCAGAGACAUUUAGGUUAGGAGCUUUCAAACUUUAAAAAAAUUAUAGUAAGAAUAACGUUUUUCAUUAUCAUCUAGUACAUACCCACAUAGGAACAACAAGUUUCACAAAGCAGUACUCAUUCUUACUACUAAUGAUGCAUACUGAUGAUUGCUAUUAUAUUUCAUUCUUUUUCUUUAAGAAAUGCUAACUAAACGCACUAAAUUGAUACACGGGUCAUAACUUGCAGUUUGACAAACUGUCUCCAGGGCACAUUUUUUUGGCUUCAAUUAGUGUCUUCCUGUAUGUUUCUAGAGAACAAGGAUGAUAAUAAAGAGAUAGGGAGGGAGAGUGGAACCCCCCUGGUGUAAUUGACUACUUUUGUUUACAUAUUUAGAAGGUGUAGUAAAUUGUACCAUGAUCUUUGAUGUCUUAAUUUGCCUGAUCAGUUGAUGAAAUUUUGAAAUAAGUAUGUGCUUUUAAUUUUCUCUGUUCUUUGCUGGAUCUGAGAAAUAUGAGAGGCCUAGUUCCAUACAGUUGAUUCAUCCUUACAACAUCUUUAAGGUAAUUUUAACGUUACAAUGUUAUACAUUAAUUUGCCUUUCUGCAGUAUAAAAAAUCUCAAGCUGAAACCCAUACUCUUCCUACUCCAAUAAUUAAUGCAUGAUAUGCUUUUUCUGCAUGAUUUAAGGUGUAGAUUCCUGGCUUUAGUAACUUAAUCAUAAACUUAAGAUAUCUUUCAGUUAAUUAACAUCUUAAUUCUCCCCAUGAAAAUGACAUUUUCAUCUGUUUUUGAAACAGAUAAGGUCCUUGUGUGAGUAGUAUUAUAAUAAAUGUUAACGAGUAUUGGUGACCAAAGUGAGAAGCCUUCAUGUGUUGUGAUGUUUAAUGUCCUUUUAAAAGUGUCACAUGGCCUUUUGUUACAGGACAUUGAGUGUCAAAUGAUGCUGCCUGAUUUCAGUAGGUACAUAUUUAUAGGUUGUAUUUAAGACCAGUUCAAUCAUUUUUAUUUUUGUUGAAGAUGCCCUCAUAUUAUUUGAAACCUGGAAUUCAAAAGCACAGCCAUCAGGAAAAUAUUGCCUGAAGUAAAGUUUACCACUAGGGCCACAUUCUUGAGUAGAUGCUUUAUGAAAGCAUUCUUAUUAUCUUCAAACUUACUGUAUUAUAAAAUACAUCUUUCUUACCUUUAUUUUUUGACUAUCUCUUGGUUGUUCUGCCUGCAUGUAUCAGUCAUCCUUUAAAAAUUACGUUUAACUCAGGUAAAAAUUUGUUUUAAAAUGUUUAAAAGUUUUCUUUGUGUGGUAGAUGUUUGGGACAUUAAGGAAGAUUCUCAUUAAUUCCAUUUUUCUGGGAAUCAUGUGUAUCUGUCAAUAAACAGUUGUGGUGAA